Molecule: long non-coding RNA, 472 nt
Organism: Alligator sinensis (Chinese alligator)
Lineage: Eukaryota; Metazoa; Chordata; Crocodylia; Alligatoridae
Exons: 3
Source: RefSeq, a predicted model, not a curated record
CAGCAUCGUGGCUGUCCCGAUAGGGCCAAUGGCUUAGUCUAGCUCCUGCUGCCCAUGCACCAUCCUGGGGACACUCUCGCUCUCUCUCUCUCUGGGAUCCCUGCAGAGCCACUUCCUGGAGCCCCAUGGUCCUUCCCCGCACUCACCGGAGCAGCUGGGAAAGUAGUUUGCCUUGUAGCUGACCUGCUGUGUCCUCCGGAGUCCUGCAGUCCUGGCAUCCUUCUGGAUCACAGUGAAGACCAUGGAAGCCAUAAUGCCAGAGAAUAAGGUCAGAGUUGGAAGAGUGCACACCUGCUGUGAAGGUGCAGUGCCUCUAAGAGAAGGCCUUCAGCUCCAGGCCUGUACUGUGCAGAAGGGCACCUCAAUGCUAUAUGAAGGAUCAAAGCUUUGCUCUGAGGUAAUAGAUUUUUCUCCUGGAAGAACAGCAAAAAUGAAGCCAGUCGAGAAGAAAACCCAUCGUCAGUUACAGUAU